GACGAACGCUGGCGGCGUGCUUAACACAUGCAAGUCGAGCGGUAAGGCCCUUUCGGGGGUACACGGGCGGCGAACGGGUGAGUAACACGUGGGUGACCUGCCCUCAGCUCUGGGAUAAGCCUGGGAAACCGGGUCUAAUACCGGAUAUGACUCCAUGACGCAUGUUGUGGGGUGGAAAGCCUUGUGCGGCUGAGGAUGGGCCCGCGGCCUAUCAGCUUGUUGGUGGGGUGANGGCCUACCAAGGCGACGACGGGUAGCCGGCCUGAGAGGGCGACCGGCCACACUGGGACUGAGACACGGCCCAGACUCCUACGGGAGGCAGCAGUGGGGAAUCUUGCGCAAUGCGCGAAAGCGUGACGCAGCAACGCCGCGUGGGGAAGAAGGCC
Molecule: ribosomal RNA, 386 nt
Filed under: uncultured bacterium
Lineage: Bacteria
Description: bacterial SSU rRNA
Rfam family: Bacterial small subunit ribosomal RNA
Source: RNAcentral